GUGCCAGCAGCCGCGGUAAUACGUAGGUGGCAAGCGUUGUCCGGAAUUAUUGGGCGUAAAGGGCUCGCAGGCGGUUUCUUAAGUCUGAUGUGAAAGCCCCCGGCUCAACCGGGGAGGGUCAUUGGAAACUGGGGAACUUGAGUGCAGAAGAGGAGAGUGGAAUUCCACGUGUAGCGGUGAAAUGCGUAGAGAUGUGGAGGAACACCAGUGGCGAAGGCGACUCUCUGGUCUGUAACUGACGCUGAGGAGCGAAAGCGUGGGGAGCGAACAGGAUUAGAUAUCCUGGUAGUGC
RNAcentral lists this ribosomal RNA (292 nucleotides) under uncultured microorganism. RNAcentral describes it as "partial 16S ribosomal RNA". It matches the Rfam family "Bacterial small subunit ribosomal RNA", at positions 505 to 796 of the family's 1533-position model. The record is from RNAcentral.